UCCUCAAUUCAAUUAUUUGAGGUAGGACCUGCUCAAUGCAAUACGUAAAUAGCCGCAGUACUUUGACUGUGCGAAGGUAGCAUAAUAAAUUGGCUUUUAAUUGAGGUCUGGGAUGAAUGGUCUGACAAGGAUUUGACUGUCUCAAAAUGAAAUUUUUUGAAAUUGAAUUGUCUGUAAAAAUGCGGACAUGAAAGAGAGGGACGAGAAGACCCUAUAGAUCUUUGAAAGGAUUGAUUUAAAAGUUUUAAAUAUGUUCUUUUUAUUUGGGGAAAAUCCUGAAAAUAAAAUUAAUUAUAAAUUUCGGUUAAAAGUAAAAAUGUAAUUAUUGAUUUUUGAUCCACUAUAGAAGUGAAAGAAUGAAAAAGUUACCUUAGGGAUAACAGGACAAUGAUCUUUAAAGAGGCCUUAUCUUUAAAGACGUUUGUUACCUCGAUGUUGAAUUAAGUUAUCUAAUUAAAGAAGAAGUUCUUAAAGUUGGUCUGUNCGACCAUUAAAAAC
This 498-nucleotide ribosomal RNA is filed under the name Coloceras sp. JDW-2010. Its description in RNAcentral is "partial 16S ribosomal RNA". It matches the Rfam family "Bacterial large subunit ribosomal RNA", at positions 1832 to 2595 of the family's 2925-position model. Lineage: Eukaryota; Metazoa; Arthropoda; Insecta; Psocodea; Philopteridae. The record is from RNAcentral.